RNAcentral lists this ribosomal RNA (429 nucleotides) under bacterium. RNAcentral's name for it is "partial 16S ribosomal RNA". It matches the Rfam family "Bacterial small subunit ribosomal RNA", at positions 355 to 776 of the family's 1533-position model. The record is from RNAcentral.
UAGGGAAUCUUCGGCAAUGGGGGCAACCCUGACCGAGCAACGCCGCGUGAGUGAAGAAGGUUUUCGGAUCGUAAAGCUCUGUUGUAAGAGAAGAACGUGUGUGAGAGUGGAAAGUUCACACAGUGACGGUAACUUACCAGAAAGGGACGGCUAACUACGUGCCAGCAGCCGCGGUAAUACGUAGGUCCCGAGCGUUGUCCGGAUUUAUUGGGCGUAAAGCGAGCGCAGGCGGUUUAAUAAGUCUGAAGUUAAAGGCAGUGGCUUAACCAUUGUUCGCUUUGGAAACUGUUAAACUUGAGUGUAGAAGGGGAGAGUGGAAUUCCAUGUGUAGCGGUGAAAUGCGUAGAUAUAUGGAGGAACACCGGUGGCGAAAGCGGCUCUCUGGUCUGUAACUGACGCUGAGGCUCGAAAGCGUGGGGAGCAAACAGG